Non-coding RNA from Trichuris trichiura (human whipworm), 82 nucleotides. Lineage: Eukaryota; Metazoa; Nematoda; Enoplea; Trichinellida; Trichuridae. The record is from Rfam.
GCUGUGGUGGCCGAGUGUUUAAGGCGUUGGACUUGAAAUCCAAUGGGUUGUACCCGCACAGGUUCAAAUCCUGUCCACAGGG